RNAcentral lists this ribosomal RNA (253 nucleotides) under uncultured bacterium. Its description in RNAcentral is "partial 16S ribosomal RNA". It matches the Rfam family "Bacterial small subunit ribosomal RNA", at positions 524 to 776 of the family's 1533-position model. The record is from RNAcentral.
UACGAACUGUGCAAACGUUAUUCGGAAUCACUGGGCUUAAAGGGUGCGUAGGCGGCUAUUUAAGUAGGGUGUGAAAGCCCCCGGCUCAACCGGGGAAUUGCGCCCUAAACUGGAUGGCUGGAGUGAGGCAGGGGUGUGUGGAACUUCCGGUGGAGCGGUGAAAUGUGUUGAUAUCGGAAGGAACGCCGGUGGCGAAAGCGACACACUGGGUCUCAACUGACGCUGAGGCACGAAAGCCAGGGGAGCAAACGGG